GGUUAAGCGACUAAGCGUACACGGUGGAUGCCCUGGCAGUCAGAGGCGAUGAAGGGCGUGCUAAUCUGCGAUAAGCGCCGGUAAGGUGAUAUGAACCGUUAUAACCGGCGAUACCCGAAUGGGGAAACCCAGUGUGAUUCGUCACACUAUCAUUAACUGAAUCCAUAGGUUAAUGAGGCGAACCGGGGGAACUGAAACAUCUAAGUACCCCGAGGAAAAGAAAUCAACCGAGAUUCCCCCAGUAGCGGCGAGCGAACGGGGAGGAGCCCAGAGCCUGAAUCAGCAUGUGUGUUAGUGGAAGCGUCUGGAAAGGCGCGCGAUACAGGGUGACAGCCCCGUACACAAAAGCGCAUGUGCUGUGAGCUCGAUGAGUAGGGCGGGACACGUGGUAUCCUGUCUGAAUAUGGGGGGACCAUCCUCCAAGGCUAAAUACUCCUGACUGACCGAUAGUGAACCAGUACCGUGAGGGAAAGGCGAAAAGAACCCCGGCGAGGGGAGUGAAAAAGAACCUGAAACCGUGUACGUACAAGCAGUGGGAGCACAGGUUUACCUGUGUGACUGCGUACCUUUUGUAUAAUGGGUCAGCGACUUAUAUUCUGUAGCAAGGUUAACCGUAUAGGGGAGCCGGAGGGAAACCGAGUCUUAACCGGGCGUUAAGUUGCAGGGUAUAGACCCGAAACCCGGUGAUCUAGCCAUGGGCAGGUUGAAGGUUGGGUAACACUAACUGGAGGACCGAACCGACUAAUGUUGAAAAAUUAGCGGAUGACCUGUGGCUGGGGGUGAAAGGCCAAUCAAACCGGGAGAUAGCUGGUUCUCCCCGAAAGCUAUUUAGGUAGCGCCUCGUGAAUUCAUCUCCGGGGGUAGAGCACUGUUUCGGCUAGGGGGCCAUCCCGGCUUACCAACCCGAUGCAAACUGCGAAUACCGGAGAAUGUUAUCACGGGAGACACACGGCGGGUGCUAACGUCCGUCGUGAAGAGGGAAACAACCCAGACCGCCAGCUAAGGUCCCAAAGUCAUGGUUAAGUGGGAAACGAUGUGGGAAGGCCCAGACAGCCAGGAUGUUGGCUUAGAAGCAGCCAUCAUUUAAAGAAAGCGUAAUAGCUCACUGGUCGAGUCGGCCUGCGCGGAAGAUGUAACGGGGCUAAACCAUGCACCGAAGCUGCGGCAGCGACGCUGAUGCGUUGUUGGGUAGGGGAGCGUUCUGUAAGCCUGCGAAGGUGGCCUGUGAGGGUUGCUGGAGGUAUCAGAAGUGCGAAUGCUGACAUAAGUAACGAUAAAGCGGGUGAAAAGCCCGCUCGCCGGAAGACCAAGGGUUCCUGUCCAACGUUAAUCGGGGCAGGGUGAGUCGACCCCUAAGGCGAGGCCGAAAGGCGUAGUCGAUGGGAAACGGGUUAAUAUUCCCGUACUUGGUGUUACUGCGAAGGGGGGACGGAGAAGGCUAUGUUGGCCGGGCGACGGUUGUCCCGGUUUAAGCGUGUAGGUGUGUGUUCCAGGUAAAUCCGGUUCACUUUAACACUGAGGCGUGACGACGAGGCACUACGGUGCUGAAGCAACAAAUGCCCUGCUUCCAGGAAAAGCCUCUAAGCAUCAGGUAACAUCAAAUCGUACCCCAAACCGACACAGGUGGUCAGGUAGAGAAUACCAAGGCGCUUGAGAGAACUCGGGUGAAGGAACUAGGCAAAAUGGUGCCGUAACUUCGGGAGAAGGCACGCUGACAUGUAGGUGAAGUGAUUUACUCAUGGAGCUGAAGUCAGUCGAAGAUACCAGCUGGCUGCAACUGUUUAUUAAAAACACAGCACUGUGCAAACACGAAAGUGGACGUAUACGGUGUGACGCCUGCCCGGUGCCGGAAGGUUAAUUGAUGGGGUCAGCGCAAGCGAAGCUCCUGAUCGAAGCCCCGGUAAACGGCGGCCGUAACUAUAACGGUCCUAAGGUAGCGAAAUUCCUUGUCGGGUAAGUUCCGACCUGCACGAAUGGCGUAAUGAUGGCCAGGCUGUCUCCACCCGAGACUCAGUGAAAUUGAACUCGCUGUGAAGAUGCAGUGUACCCGCGGCAAGACGGAAAGACCCCGUGAACCUUUACUAUAGCUUGACACUGAACAUUGAGCCUUGAUGUGUAGGAUAGGUGGGAGGCUUUGAAGUGUGGACGCCAGUCUGCAUGGAGCCGACCUUGAAAUACCACCCUUUAAUGUUUGAUGUUCUAACGUGGACCCGUUACCCGGGUUGCGGACAGUGUCUGGUGGGUAGUUUGACUGGGGCGGUCUCCUCCUAAAGAGUAACGGAGGAGCACGAAGGUUGGCUAAUCCUGGUCGGACAUCAGGAGGUUAGUGCAAUGGCAUAAGCCAGCUUGACUGCGAGCGUGACGGCGCGAGCAGGUGCGAAAGCAGGUCAUAGUGAUCCGGUGGUUCUGAAUGGAAGGGCCAUCGCUCAACGGAUAAAAGGUACUCCGGGGAUAACAGGCUGAUACCGCCCAAGAGUUCAUAUCGACGGCGGUGUUUGGCACCUCGAUGUCGGCUCAUCACAUCCUGGGGCUGAAGUAGGUCCCAAGGGUAUGGCUGUUCGCCAUUUAAAGUGGUACGCGAGCUGGGUUUAGAACGUCGUGAGACAGUUCGGUCCCUAUCUGCCGUGGGCGCUGGAGAACUGAGGGGGGCUGCUCCUAGUACGAGAGGACCGGAGUGGACGCAUCACUGGUGUUCGGGUUGUCAUGCCAAUGGCACUGCCCGGUAGCUAAAUGCGGAAGAGAUAAGUGCUGAAAGCAUCUAAGCACGAAACUUGCCCCGAGAUGAGUUCUCCCUGAGACUUAGAGUCUCCUGAAGGAACGUUGAAGACGACGACGUUGAUAGGCCGGGUGUGUAAGCGCAGCGAUGCGUUGAGCUAACCGGUACUAAUGAACCGUGAGGCUUAACCUU
This 2908-nucleotide ribosomal RNA is filed under the name Salmonella enterica subsp. enterica serovar Saintpaul. RNAcentral describes it as "23S ribosomal RNA". It matches the Rfam family "Bacterial large subunit ribosomal RNA". The record is from RNAcentral. RNAcentral also lists the same sequence under 2 other names. Lineage: Bacteria; Pseudomonadati; Pseudomonadota; Gammaproteobacteria; Enterobacterales; Enterobacteriaceae.